Cricetulus griseus (Chinese hamster) is the source of this 110-nucleotide ribosomal RNA. NCBI's taxonomy places the organism in Eukaryota, Metazoa, Chordata, Mammalia, Rodentia, Cricetidae. The record is from Ensembl.
AACAGACCAUACCAUUCUGAAAGUGCCUGAUCUUGUUUGGUCCUAGAAGCCAAGCAGGUUUGGGCCUGGUUAAUACUUGGUGGGAGAAAUAAUGCUGGCUAACACUGAUG